GUUUAUUGAUUAAUUAAGCAAUACAUCAUAUACAUAUCUUGUAGAAAAUUCCCUUUUCUCCAUAGCUUUUAAGUCAUGAAUCACAAAGCCUUUUCUUUAUUAUUCAUAGCUUUUUUUGUCUUAAUUUUUUGUUUUUCCUCAGCAACCUCCAGGAGAUUGUUAGAAGAAGAUAGAAAAGUCCCUCAAGGAAGUUUACCAUAUCGUCCAUCACAAAAAGAACCAAUAUGCAAGAAGAAUAUAAUUGGCAAAUGUAUUGCCAAUAAGAAACCGCCACGUAUUGAAAAACCCUGCAAGAGUUUAACCAACUGUCAUAAAAUGAAACCAUAAAAAAGAGGUAGUGUACUAAAAAUAAAAUAUGAGUAUGUGUGUUUUUUAACCGUAGUUUUGAAGCAAUAGAAAAAUUAUCUUCGUGUAAUCUAUAAGUUAUGAAUUUGAAUAGUAAUUAAAAUUAGUCAUUAAUAUUUGUAUUAGCGUAAGUGCUAUGGGUGUGGACGUGUGGUCAUUCUCCAAGUCCUGCUCAUAUGAGAUGUUUUAUGUAGUGGACUAUUUUUUUCUAUAUGUAUGAGUUUAAUUUAUUACCAGUA
This is a long non-coding RNA of Solanum tuberosum (potato), 584 nucleotides long. RefSeq lists it as uncharacterized. The transcript is spliced from 2 exons. NCBI's taxonomy places the organism in Eukaryota, Viridiplantae, Streptophyta, Magnoliopsida, Solanales, Solanaceae. The record is from RefSeq and is a predicted model, not a curated record.